This is a long non-coding RNA of Heterocephalus glaber (naked mole-rat), 1219 nucleotides long. Lineage: Eukaryota; Metazoa; Chordata; Mammalia; Rodentia; Bathyergidae. The record is from Ensembl.
GUAGGAACAGAGGAUUAACUUUUAAAAUAUAUAAUUUAUUUCAAAUGCAUGUGCAGCAUUUUGUUUUAUUAGUACAUGUUUGUUUGGUUUUUUUAGGGGGUGGAACUGGGGAUUGAACUUGGGACCUUGUUCUUGUGAGGCAGGCGAUGGAACCACUGAGCUAAAUCCCCCGCCCUAUUAGUACUUGUUUAUAGUACAUAAAGUUUACAGUCAUCUUGGAGUGUCCAACUCUUUUGAAUCACCUUUCAUGUCACAGUUCUCAGUGUCUGCAUUUCCUCACACAACACAGCCCUGAGUAUCAUCAAGAGAACUGGUGAUAGGGAUGGGGAUAAGGUCCUGAGUUCGAUCCCCGGUACCAAAAAAAAAAAAAGAGUACUGGUGAUAGAGUGCUACUUCAAAGAGCGCAUCAUGGCUAUCUUCUGUUUACUGUCAGUGGGAAACAUUGGACCAAAGAAUGACGUCUUAAUGAUAGUCCUGCUCAACCCAUGAAUCGGUCACAUCAGCCUCCUGUUGCUCUGAAUUUUCUGUCAUCGAUUUCAAGAGUUUCCAGUUUAUCCUGCCUUUAACUGCAUUGCGUGGUGUUUGACAGGCAACCCUUUUGCACCUGCCUCUCUGACAAAGUGAGGACCAUGUCUGGAGCCAGUGGCCUUCACCAACAGGUGCCCUCCUUGGCCCCCUGACUGAGACCCCUGCCCAACUGAGAGAGAAAAAGCCCCAAAAGACGCAUUGCCUGCAAGAAAAGAGAUAAUAGGAAGCCAGCUACUGCCUUGCUCAUUCACACCUGCAAGGAGACUGACUCUCUGAAAAACCACAAGGCACCCGCCUUACCUUGCUGUACCUGCCAUCGCCCUGCUACCCUCACCCCGUCCUGUUCAUCAGUCUUAAGCCUGUCACCCAAGAGACUCCAAAAUCUUCCUCCUUCUGAGCUGACACUCCCUCCCCUACUUAAACUUCCCUAUUUAAACUGUGCUCACUGUCCUUCCUAUGCCAACAGCAUUUUUGCCCUUGGCCUAUCUGCGCCCAGAUGGUAAAAAACUCAUUGCAUGUUGCUUAGAUUUUGCCUGCCUUGGUGAUCUCACUCGUGCUCCAGUUGAACCUUACACUUUCUAUGUCUGUUUAUACUAAACAAUAAAAGUGAGAUUCACUGACCUAAAUCAAUUAUUUUUUUAAAUCUCCUUACCCUCCCUUCCCUCCAUUCACCCCUCCCUUCAUCUUUUGG